UCCACACUCUCCGCCUUUUCUGUUCCAUCCUCUCCCUGUUUUCGGUCUGGAUCCCACUAUUUUCGGCAUGUGGGUCCUUCCUGUCCGCCUUUUCGGUUCCAUCCUCUCCGCCUUUUUCGGCCUCUGGCACCCUCCCCAUUUUUUUUUUUACGCUCUUCAUCUCUCUCUUUCCCCCUUCUCGCCCUCUAUGUGGCUUCGUACAUCCCCGCUGGCACUGUACUUCCUCCUUACCUCUCCUCUCCGCGUUUUCGGCCUGUGGGUCCCUUGCGCAACGGCUUCUCCCUCUUCCUUUCUCGCGAACCCUAUGUUCGCCUAGCGUUCCCCUCUCCGCAAAUGCGCCGCUUCCCUGGAAAUCCCUCUCUCUCUCGACCGUACGCCUGUAUCUACUCAAAUCGAGACAUUUAAUGGCGUCGCGCAACCGCCGCUCCCUGUAUCUCCCGAAAAUCGUCGGUGCAUUAAAUGCCCCCCAUCAACCCGUCGCUUCGCCGGAGAUGGUUUCCUCCCUUCGCCGUACAU
RNAcentral lists this long non-coding RNA (516 nucleotides) under Ananas comosus (pineapple). RNAcentral's name for it is "long non-coding RNA (ACOM_LNC037239)". Lineage: Eukaryota; Viridiplantae; Streptophyta; Magnoliopsida; Poales; Bromeliaceae. The record is from RNAcentral.